Molecule: ribosomal RNA, 253 nt
Filed under: uncultured bacterium
Lineage: Bacteria
Description: partial 16S ribosomal RNA
Rfam family: Bacterial small subunit ribosomal RNA
Source: RNAcentral
UACAGAGGUCUCAAGCGUUGUUCGGAAUCACUGGGCGUAAAGGGUGCGUAGGCCGCACGGUAAGUCAGAGGUGAAAUCCCGGAGCUCAACUUCGGAAUUGCCUCCGAUACUGCCGUGCUUGAGGACUGGAGAGGAGAUUGGAAUUCACAGUGGAGCAGUGAAAUGCGUAGAUAUUGUGAGGAACACUAGUGGCGAAGGCGGCUCACUGGUCCAUUACUGACGCUGAGGUGCGAAAGCGUGGGGAGCAAACAGG